This 653-nucleotide long non-coding RNA is filed under the name Homo sapiens (human). RNAcentral describes it as "HSALNT0140457". The record is from RNAcentral. Lineage: Eukaryota; Metazoa; Chordata; Mammalia; Primates; Hominidae.
GCCACAGUUAAACAAAACUAAUGCUUAAACUUCUCUACCCUUGAGACAGUAGGGUAAUGUACCAUUUAUGCCUCUACAAUAACACACCUUGGAGACCAACUGUAAGAGACCAGCUCUCAAAAUGGGCACUUCUGUGGUUCCAACAUGCUAUAUUUCCUUAAGCAAAUUCUCCAGAAAUUCAACUCUUAACACACUAAAUUACACAAAAGCAAAACACGAAAAUUACCCUCAAGUAGUCUGCAAUUAAAAUUUUGCGUUUUUCUAGUUAUGAAUGCAAAAAGUAUUUUUGUGCCUUUGUGUUCAUUUGAAGACAAUAAUCUGUUAAAAUUUCUAUGAAAAGAAGAGUGGGUCCCUAAAAGAUCACUUAAGUCAGUGAAAUUUAAAGCGCAUUUUAAAUAACUGCUAUUUUUAUCCAACGAUUCAUCCCACUUAAUCACCAUUAUAACUAAACAAUACGUAACGUGCCUCUUCUAAUCAAGACUUAAGGGGAUACAGAGAGGGAAACGGGAGGGAGACAGAAUUUAAAUAAGUAAUAUCUCAUCAGAUCCAUUUGAUUUUUAACUAGCGAAGAAAAAGUCAUUUUCCAGAUAUGGUGAGGGAGAGAAUUUUUUUUAACUCUGCGACUACUUCGUAAAGCCCAAGGUCAUGAUGUA